ACGCUCGACACCUACUGGAGGCAGCAGUGGGGAAUAUUGGGCAAUGGGCGCAAGCCUGACCCAGCAACGCCGCGUGAAGGAAGAAGGCUUUCGGGUUGUAAACUUCUUUUGUCAGGGACGAAGACGUGACGGUACCUGACGAAUAAGCUCCGGCUAACUACGUGCCAGUAGCCGCGGUAAUCUGAGCGGGCUGGCAAGGC
This 200-nucleotide ribosomal RNA is filed under the name uncultured bacterium. RNAcentral describes it as "partial 16S ribosomal RNA". It matches the Rfam family "Bacterial small subunit ribosomal RNA", at positions 328 to 539 of the family's 1533-position model. The record is from RNAcentral.